This 382-nucleotide ribosomal RNA is filed under the name uncultured archaeon. Its description in RNAcentral is "bacterial SSU rRNA". It matches the Rfam family "Archaeal small subunit ribosomal RNA", at positions 471 to 851 of the family's 1478-position model. The record is from RNAcentral.
UAAAACCAGCUCUUGGAGUGGUGAUCAUGAUUAUUUGGCUUAAAGGGUGCGUAGCAGGACAGCGUGAGUCCCCUGUGAAAUGCCGAGUCUUAAGCUCGGAACGUGCCGGGGAUACUGCGCGUCUUGGGACCGGGAUAGGUGUAAUGUACGCGAUGGGUAGGGGUGAAAUCCGAUAAUCCAUCGCGGACAACCGGUGGCGAAGGCGUUACACUGGAACGGGUCCGACUGUGAGGCACGAAAGCUAGGGUCGCGAGCCGGAUUAGAUACCCGGGUAGUCCUAGCUGUAAACGAUGCUCAUUAAGUGUUAGGUAAUGCAAGACAUUCUCUAGUGCCGAAGCGAAAGCGUUAAAUGAGCCGCCUGGGAAGUACGUUCGCAAGAAUG